RNAcentral lists this ribosomal RNA (2922 nucleotides) under Staphylococcus aureus. Its description in RNAcentral is "23S ribosomal RNA". It matches the Rfam family "Bacterial large subunit ribosomal RNA". Lineage: Bacteria; Bacillati; Bacillota; Bacilli; Caryophanales; Staphylococcaceae. The record is from RNAcentral.
GAUUAAGUUAUUAAGGGCGCACGGUGGAUGCCUUGGCACUAGAAGCCGAUGAAGGACGUUACUAACGACGAUAUGCUUUGGGGAGCUGUAAGUAAGCUUUGAUCCAGAGAUUUCCGAAUGGGGAAACCCAGCAUGAGUUAUGUCAUGUUAUCGAUAUGUGAAUACAUAGCAUAUCAGAAGGCACACCCGGAGAACUGAAACAUCUUAGUACCCGGAGGAAGAGAAAGAAAAUUCGAUUCCCUUAGUAGCGGCGAGCGAAACGGGAAGAGCCCAAACCAACAAGCUUGCUUGUUGGGGUUGUAGGACACUCUAUACGGAGUUACAAAGGACGACAUUAGACGAAUCAUCUGGAAAGAUGAAUCAAAGAAGGUAAUAAUCCUGUAGUCGAAAAUGUUGUCUCUCUUGAGUGGAUCCUGAGUACGACGGAGCACGUGAAAUUCCGUCGGAAUCUGGGAGGACCAUCUCCUAAGGCUAAAUACUCUCUAGUGACCGAUAGUGAACCAGUACCGUGAGGGAAAGGUGAAAAGCACCCCGGAAGGGGAGUGAAAUAGAACCUGAAACCGUGUGCUUACAAGUAGUCAGAGCCCGUUAAUGGGUGAUGGCGUGCCUUUUGUAGAAUGAACCGGCGAGUUACGAUUUGAUGCAAGGUUAAGCAGUAAAUGUGGAGCCGUAGCGAAAGCGAGUCUGAAUAGGGCGUUUAGUAUUUGGUCGUAGACCCGAAACCAGGUGAUCUACCCUUGGUCAGGUUGAAGUUCAGGUAACACUGAAUGGAGGACCGAACCGACUUACGUUGAAAAGUGAGCGGAUGAACUGAGGGUAGCGGAGAAAUUCCAAUCGAACCUGGAGAUAGCUGGUUCUCUCCGAAAUAGCUUUAGGGCUAGCCUCAAGUGAUGAUUAUUGGAGGUAGAGCACUGUUUGGACGAGGGGCCCCUCUCGGGUUACCGAAUUCAGACAAACUCCGAAUGCCAAUUAAUUUAACUUGGGAGUCAGAACAUGGGUGAUAAGGUCCGUGUUCGAAAGGGAAACAGCCCAGACCACCAGCUAAGGUCCCAAAAUAUAUGUUAAGUGGAAAAGGAUGUGGCGUUGCCCAGACAACUAGGAUGUUGGCUUAGAAGCAGCCAUCAUUUAAAGAGUGCGUAAUAGCUCACUAGUCGAGUGACACUGCGCCGAAAAUGUACCGGGGCUAAACAUAUUACCGAAGCUGUGGAUUGUCCUUUGGACAAUGGUAGGAGAGCGUUCUAAGGGCGUUGAAGCAUGAUCGUAAGGACAUGUGGAGCGCUUAGAAGUGAGAAUGCCGGUGUGAGUAGCGAAAGAGGGUGAGAAUCCCGUCCACCGAUUGACUAAGGUUUCCAGAGGAAGGCUCGUCCGCUCUGGGUUAGUCGGGUCCUAAGCUGAGGCCGACAGGCGUAGGCGAUGGAUAACAGGUUGAUAUUCCUGUACCACCUAUAAUCGUUUUAAUCGAUGGGGGGACGCAGUAGGAUAGGCGAAGCGUGCGAUUGGAUUGCACGUCUAAGCAGUAAGGCUGAGUAUUAGGCAAAUCCGGUACUCGUUAAGGCUGAGCUGUGAUGGGGAGAAGACAUUGUGUCUUCGAGUCGUUGAUUUCACACUGCCGAGAAAAGCCUCUAGAUAGAAAAUAGGUGCCCGUACCGCAAACCGACACAGGUAGUCAAGAUGAGAAUUCUAAGGUGAGCGAGCGAACUCUCGUUAAGGAACUCGGCAAAAUGACCCCGUAACUUCGGGAGAAGGGGUGCUCUUUAGGGUUAACGCCCAGAAGAGCCGCAGUGAAUAGGCCCAAGCGACUGUUUAUCAAAAACACAGGUCUCUGCUAAACCGUAAGGUGAUGUAUAGGGGCUGACGCCUGCCCGGUGCUGGAAGGUUAAGAGGAGUGGUUAGCUUCUGCGAAGCUACGAAUCGAAGCCCCAGUAAACGGCGGCCGUAACUAUAACGGUCCUAAGGUAGCGAAAUUCCUUGUCGGGUAAGUUCCGACCCGCACGAAAGGCGUAACGAUUUGGGCACUGUCUCAACGAGAGACUCGGUGAAAUCAUAGUACCUGUGAAGAUGCAGGUUACCCGCGACAGGACGGAAAGACCCCGUGGAGCUUUACUGUAGCCUGAUAUUGAAAUUCGGCACAGCUUGUACAGGAUAGGUAGGAGCCUUUGAAACGUGAGCGCUAGCUUACGUGGAGGCGCUGGUGGGAUACUACCCUAGCUGUGUUGGCUUUCUAACCCGCACCACUUAUCGUGGUGGGAGACAGUGUCAGGCGGGCAGUUUGACUGGGGCGGUCGCCUCCUAAAAGGUAACGGAGGCGCUCAAAGGUUCCCUCAGAAUGGUUGGAAAUCAUUCAUAGAGUGUAAAGGCAUAAGGGAGCUUGACUGCGAGACCUACAAGUCGAGCAGGGUCGAAAGACGGACUUAGUGAUCCGGUGGUUCCGCAUGGAAGGGCCAUCGCUCAACGGAUAAAAGCUACCCCGGGGAUAACAGGCUUAUCUCCCCCAAGAGUUCACAUCGACGGGGAGGUUUGGCACCUCGAUGUCGGCUCAUCGCAUCCUGGGGCUGUAGUCGGUCCCAAGGGUUGGGCUGUUCGCCCAUUAAAGCGGUACGCGAGCUGGGUUCAGAACGUCGUGAGACAGUUCGGUCCCUAUCCGUCGUGGGCGUAGGAAAUUUGAGAGGAGCUGUCCUUAGUACGAGAGGACCGGGAUGGACAUACCUCUGGUGUACCAGUUGUCGUGCCAACGGCAUAGCUGGGUAGCUAUGUGUGGACGGGAUAAGUGCUGAAAGCAUCUAAGCAUGAAGCCCCCCUCAAGAUGAGAUUUCCCAACUUCGGUUAUAAGAUCCCUCAAAGAUGAUGAGGUUAAUAGGUUCGAGGUGGAAGCAUGGUGACAUGUGGAGCUGACGAAUACUAAUCGAUCGAAGACUUAAUCAA